GAUGAACGCUAGCUACAGGCUUAACACAUGCAAGUCGAGGGGAAACGACAUCGAAAGCUUGCUUUUGAUGGGCGUCGACCGGCGCACGGGUGAGUAACGCGUAUCCAACCUGCCCAUCACUUGGGAAUAACCUUGCGAAAGUAAGACUAAUACCCAAUGAUAUCCCACGAAGGCAUCGGAAUGGGAUUAAAGAUUUAUCGGUGAUGGAUGGGGAUGCGUCUGAUUAGCUUGUUGGCGGGGUAACGGCCCACCAAGGCAACGAUCAGUAGGGGUUCUGAGAGGAAGGUCCCCCACAUUGGAACUGAGACACGGUCCAAACUCCUACGGGAGGCAGCAGUGAGGAAUAUUGGUCAAUGGGCGAGAGCCUGAACCAGCCAAGUAGCGUGCAGGAAGACGGCCCUAUGGGUUGUAAACUGCUUUUAUAAGGGAAUAAAGUGGGUCACGUGUGACUUUUUGCAUGUACCCUAUGAAUAAGGACCGGCUAAUUCCGUG
This 492-nucleotide ribosomal RNA is filed under the name uncultured bacterium. Its description in RNAcentral is "partial 16S ribosomal RNA". It matches the Rfam family "Bacterial small subunit ribosomal RNA", at positions 28 to 507 of the family's 1533-position model. The record is from RNAcentral.